Molecule: ribosomal RNA, 253 nt
Filed under: uncultured bacterium
Lineage: Bacteria
Description: partial 16S ribosomal RNA
Rfam family: Bacterial small subunit ribosomal RNA
Source: RNAcentral
UACGUACGAGGCGAGCGUUAUCCGGAAUUAUUGGGCGUAAAGCGCGCGCAGGCGGGCCGUUAAGUUGGCUGUGAAAUCUCCCGGCCCAACUGGGAGGGGUCAGCCAAUACUGGCGGUUUUGAGGAUGGCAGAGGUAGGUGGAAUUCCUGGUGUAGUGGUGAAAUGCGUAGAGAUCAGGAGGAACACCGGUGGCGAAGGCGGCCUACUGGGCCAUCACUGACGCUGAGGCGCGAAAGCUCGGGGAGCGAACGGG